AACGAACGCUGGCGGCAGGCCUAAUACAUGCAAGUCGAGCGCGCCCUUCGGGGUGAGCGGCGGACGGGUGAGUAACGCGUGGGAAUAUGCCCUUCUCUAAGGAAUAGCCUCUGGAAACGGAGAGUAAUACCUUAUACGCCCUUUGGGGGAAAGAUUUAUCGGAGAAGGAUUAGCCCGCGUUAGAUUAGGUAGUUGGUGGGGUAAUGGCCUACCAAGCCUACGAUCUAUAGCUGGUUUGAGAGGAUGAUCAGCCACACUGGGACUGAGACACGGCCCAGACUCCUACGGGAGGCAGCAGUAGGGAAUCUUAGACAAUGGGGGGAACCCUGAUCUAGCCAUGCCGCGUGUGUGAUGAAGGCCCUGGGGUCGUAAAGCACUUUCGCCAGAGAUGAUAAUGACAGUAUCUGGUAAAGAAACCCCGGCUAACUCCGUGCCAGCAGCCGCGGUAAUACGGAGGGGGUUAGCGUUGCUCGGAAUUACUGGGCGUAAAGCGCACGUAGGCGGAUUAGUAAGUUAGAGGUGAAAUCCCAGGGCUCAACCCUGGAACUGCCUUUAAUACUGCUAGUCUUGAGUUCGAGAGAGGUAAGUGGAAUUCCGAGUGUAGAGGUAAAAUUCGUA
Molecule: ribosomal RNA, 618 nt
Filed under: uncultured Alphaproteobacteria bacterium
Lineage: Bacteria; Pseudomonadati; Pseudomonadota; Alphaproteobacteria
Description: bacterial SSU rRNA
Rfam family: Bacterial small subunit ribosomal RNA
Source: RNAcentral